This is a long non-coding RNA of Thalassophryne amazonica, 126 nucleotides long. RefSeq lists it as uncharacterized. The transcript has 3 exons. The record is from RefSeq and is a predicted model, not a curated record. NCBI's taxonomy places the organism in Eukaryota, Metazoa, Chordata, Actinopteri, Batrachoidiformes, Batrachoididae.
UUCUCUCACAUAUUUACCACAAUCAGCCACAAUUACUGCCCAUCUAUCACUGUUAAUCUCUCCACCAAGGUUCCUCUGCCAAAUCAUCUUUAACUGAUCAGAGUCAUUGCUGACAAAAAGAAUUGA